GUGAAUCAUCAAAUCUUUGAACGCAAAUUGCACUCUCCUCGGUGAGUAUGCCUGUGUGAGGGUCAGCCUAUAAAGAAUCGACAUCGUUGCUGUUGCGCGGUGGGUUUCGUUGGAAAGUGGGUCAUCUUAAAUCCUUGUGAUUUAAGCGACUUAACAUUUUCUUUUGGUUCUAGGCACGUUUCUAAGAUCUAUUUCGUUACACGUUUAAGGUAUCGAUUUUGACUAGACGUGACAAUCAUAUGAGAUCACGUCAGUAAUCUUUCGGUA
RNAcentral lists this unclassified non-coding RNA (267 nucleotides) under Glomus sp. RNAcentral describes it as "partial contains 5.8S ribosomal RNA and internal transcribed spacer 2". The stretch from base 1 to 65 matches the Rfam family "5.8S ribosomal RNA", at positions 84 to 154 of the family's 154-position model. The record is from RNAcentral. Lineage: Eukaryota; Fungi; Glomeromycota; Glomeromycetes; Glomerales; Glomeraceae.